RNAcentral lists this ribosomal RNA (425 nucleotides) under uncultured bacterium. Its description in RNAcentral is "partial 16S ribosomal RNA". It matches the Rfam family "Bacterial small subunit ribosomal RNA", at positions 354 to 796 of the family's 1533-position model. The record is from RNAcentral.
GUGGGGAAUCUUAGACAAUGGGGGCAACCCUGAUCUAGCCAUGCCGCGUGAGUGAUGAAGGCCUUAGGGUCGUAAAGCUCUUUCGCUGGGGAAGAUAAUGACGGUACCCAGUAAAGAAACCCCGGCUAACUCCGUGCCAGCAGCCGCGGUAAUACGGAGGGGGUUAGCGUUGUUCGGAAUUACUGGGCGUAAAGCGCGCGUAGGCGGAUUGGAAAGUUGGGGGUGAAAUCCCGGGGCUCAACCCUGGAAUGGCCUUCAAAACUGCCAGUCUUGAGGUCGAGAGAGGUGAGUGGAAUUCCGAGUGUAGAGGUGAAAUUCGUAGAUAUUCGGAGGAACACCAGUGGCGAAGGCGGCUCACUGGCUCGAUACUGACGCUGAGGUGCGAAAGCGUGGGGAGCAAACAGGAUUAGAAACCCUAGUAGUCC